UGACUGAUUGUCUUCUCUAGUAAGUUUAGGACUUUUAAUCCGAUGGUCGAAGGUUCGAAUCCUUCACGGCCCACCA
RNAcentral lists this transfer RNA (76 nucleotides) under Gammaproteobacteria bacterium. RNAcentral's name for it is "tRNA-Lys". It matches the Rfam family "tRNA". Rfam says of the family: Transfer RNA (tRNA) molecules are approximately 80 nucleotides in length. Their secondary structure includes four short double-helical elements and three loops (D, anti-codon, and T loops). The record is from RNAcentral. Lineage: Bacteria; Pseudomonadati; Pseudomonadota; Gammaproteobacteria.